CCUACGGGAGGCAGCAGUGAGGAAUAUUGGUCAAUUGGCGGGAGCCUGAACCAGCCAAGUCGCGUGAGGGAAGACGGUCCUAUGGAUUGUAAACCUCUUUAGGCGGGGAGCAAUGCCGGGCACGCGUGCCCGGAGGGAGAGUACCCGCAGAAUAAGCAUCGGCUAACUCCGUGCCAGCAGCCGCGGUAAUACGGAGGAUGAGAGGGUUACCGGGAUUUUUUGGGUUAAAGGGGUGCUUGGGCGGAUUUUUAAGUCAGCGGUAAAAUUUCCGGGCUAAACCCGGGCCUGCCGUUGAUACUGGGGAUCUUGAGUGGGCGAGAAGUAUGCGGAAUGCGUGGUGUAGCGGUGAAAUGCAUAGAUAUCACGCAGAACUCCGAUUGCGAAGGCAGCAUACCG
RNAcentral lists this ribosomal RNA (396 nucleotides) under uncultured bacterium. RNAcentral describes it as "partial 16S ribosomal RNA". It matches the Rfam family "Bacterial small subunit ribosomal RNA", at positions 338 to 731 of the family's 1533-position model. The record is from RNAcentral.